GUGCUCGCUUUGGCAGCACAUAUGCUAAAAUUGGAAUGAUACGGAGAAGAUUAGCAUGGCCCCUGUGCAAGGAUGAUACCAAAUUCAUGAAGCAUUCCACAUUAAA
This is a small nuclear RNA of Manis javanica (Malayan pangolin), 106 nucleotides long. Lineage: Eukaryota; Metazoa; Chordata; Mammalia; Pholidota; Manidae. The record is from RefSeq and is a predicted model, not a curated record.